AUUAAAAUAUGUAAUAUCUGAAAAUUUCUCUCGAAAACUUGCUUUUUCCGAAAAGCUUGCUGUUCCGUGAUGUUUCAUCAAUGUAAUAAAACACGCUGACCGCUCAGAGCUGCAGACGGCAGAGCUGCAGCCGGACACCUCCGUUAUUCCCGCCGCUAUGGCAGUCAGUCCUGUUACUUGGCCCCAAGACGGAGUGCAUCCUUCCAGUUCUGGGCCCCGACCUCCCGGCCCGCGAGGGUGAGGGCGCUCAGCACAUCCUGGCUCUUCGAGAUGCCGCCUCCCUACCUGAGUCUUCCACUUUCUACCCGGGAGGCGAGGACCGUGCAGGUGUGCUGUCCUGUGACUCCACUCACCGACGCGGUCUCCUAGAGGCAGACCGGGGCCAUCGCUCUCCACCUCCCUGCUCCGAGGCUUUCCUGGGCUCCCCGUCCGGAAGUCCCGGGAGAUGCAGCCUGCGCACCCAGAACCCGUCUCCCUGUUGCGGCACCGUUCUUCUGCUUGAAACUCAUUGGAAAGAUGAGUUCCCCAGCAGGCGGGUCCUCUACUCCACUCCACGAAGCUCAAGUCACAGACCAGUGAGACAGCACAGGCACAGCCUACGCCAACAUAUUCAUGGUAAGUCAAUACUGACACGUAGAAAGGUCACGCCCAAUACACUGGGCUUUCCACACACAUUGCCUCAUUUUAUCUGCACACCUGCUCUAUGAGGGAGCAAUGCUCCUGCCUCAGCCUCCCAGAGUGCUGAGCUCACAGGCAUGAGCCACCACACCCAGCUUCAAUAAACAUUUCUAAAAAUCAAAUGAAUGAAUAUGCACAGGUGGCAGGGCUGGGAGCG
RNAcentral lists this long non-coding RNA (835 nucleotides) under Fukomys damarensis (Damara mole-rat). RNAcentral describes it as "lncRNA (ENSFDAG00000028081.1)". Lineage: Eukaryota; Metazoa; Chordata; Mammalia; Rodentia; Bathyergidae. The record is from RNAcentral.